This 633-nucleotide long non-coding RNA is filed under the name Ananas comosus (pineapple). RNAcentral's name for it is "long non-coding RNA (ACOM_LNC025520)". Lineage: Eukaryota; Viridiplantae; Streptophyta; Magnoliopsida; Poales; Bromeliaceae. The record is from RNAcentral.
AAUUCAUUUAUCAUGCUUAAUUAACUAUUAAUAGUUCUACUCCAUUGUACUUUAAUAAAAUCUCCUAUUAAAAUACACUACAACAAAAACGGUCUAUAGCGACACUUUUAAAUGUAGGUACAUGUCAAAAAAAUGCUGCUAGCUAAAAUUACCGACACUUUUAAAAAGUGUUGCUAUAUGUAGGGUCGCUAGGUAUAUAGUGACAGUUAAAGAGUGUCGCUAUAACCUUAAAAAAUGCUGCUAAUUUACCAACACUUAUUUAAGCAUUUAGCAACUGCCGAAACUCUAUCUCGUUAGCUGCUGUGGCGGAGGAGGACGACAGGAAUGGCUCUUCGUCUAGAAUUUCAGUGGAUUGAGUGAAGAGAGAAGAAAAUAUGGUAAUUGAUUUUUCUUUUUUUUUUUUCUUUUCUAUUUGUAAUCGGGCCAAAUGGACUGGGUGUGGUGGGUUGAGUAGAGAAAUCUUUUAUUUUUGGUUGGAUUGGGCUUUAUAUUUAGGCAUUAGUAGAUGUUUUUUUAAGUUUUAGCAUAAAUGAGACACUUAUUUAAAAGUGUCCCAAACAUGUGUCCCUAUAACCUAAUUCUGUUGUAGUGAUAGGUUUUGAAUAACACAAGCUAAAUAGUUCGCUAUACAUA